Long non-coding RNA from Choloepus didactylus (southern two-toed sloth), 595 nucleotides. RefSeq lists it as uncharacterized. Lineage: Eukaryota; Metazoa; Chordata; Mammalia; Pilosa; Megalonychidae. The transcript has 3 exons. The record is from RefSeq and is a predicted model, not a curated record.
AAUUUGCUGGGCUGGGGGCAAAAGUGCAAAUAUAGACCCACAUGUGAAAUGUAUAAACAUUUUUAAGUUAUAAAUCAACCAAUGAACUAUUAAAUAAAAAUAAAUUUUGUUCUCCUAUCUUGAUAAACUUCAAAAAGACCCGGAAGGCAUGUUUGAAUUUGGAACUCUUGGUCUCCUUGGAGCUGUAUUACAGCAUGGUGGCACAGGGAGAGCUGUCUCCCAGCAGACUUUCCCAGAGUCAACUUCCAAAUCAACUCCCAGGGGUGAGUUCAAGUUGGCAGAAGAAGCCACAAGGGGAGAACAAAUGUUACCCACUUCAAUGAAGAAAUGUUCUGCCUUCAGGGAAAACAGAUUCAGUCCCAUUCAGUAUGAUACUUGGAUGGGGUAUGGAGUUAUCAAAGAGGGGUGGAAUGAUGAGAGGGUGUGAAAAUGGCAUCCUGCUGAAAAUUAAAGAAUACAUUUGAACUUCCUUCCAUCUUAGGACUUUUUCACAGAUUUGCUGUUCAUUACUGUGGGAGAAUGUGCACUGUGCACAUUCCUGAGGUCACCAACCAGUAAAUACAUCUCCAUUUGGCAAGGUAAGGAGGACACUGGC